CAUAGCCGUCAUUCACCUCUCUCUCUCAUCAGUCCCUCACUGCCUCUUUCUCUCCUCCUCUCCUCCCCGUCAUUCACCUCUUUCUCUCAUUUCAAACUCAGGCCCUCUCUCCUCUCCUCCAUCAAUCUUCCCCUUAACAACAAGUGAAGAUCUCUAAACCUAACCACUGAUGAACAAUUCUUAGAUAAUUUAGGAUAUCUUUGCCGAAAACUACAACCAUUUUAGAUCGUGAGGUUUUGUUUUACGCAACCUCUGCAAUGCUGGCAUUCUUACUAAUUUUGAAGUACUUGAUUUAUUGCAUACGAGAGGGGCUUCCAAGGAACCUACCCGGGCCAUGGGUUUGUUAAAAUCGUCUAAUUUCAAGGUUUAUGAUUAUUUGGUUGAGAGUGCUGCUUGUGAUUAGACUAGAGAAAGUAUCAAUGAUCUUAUAGAGAAAUUUAAAGAGUAUCAGCUACCUAAAGCUGAGUUGAUAAACAUCAUUAACAAUCACCCCUCUUCUGCAGUCGAAUUGGCUCCGGUUGGACUUUGAUAGAGGAGGAAAUGAGGAAGUCGGUGAAAGCAAUGCAGACUCUGAGGACCUGUCUUUGAUCAGAAAACAGCUUCUUCAGAUAGAGAGACAACAAUCUGAUAUGAUGUUUCUCAUCCAGAGAUUUAUGGGUAAUUCUCAAAGUGGGAUUGGCUCUUUGGAGAAUAGAGUAUCUGGCAUCGAGAGCGCAUUGAAUGAGAUCUCACAUGAUUUAGUUGUGCAAAGAGGAAGAAUUGCCAACAAUGACUUAGCAAGAAGCACUUGCUGUCCUAGUACAGAAUUCCUGAUUCCAAAAUUCUGGAGAAGAACAGAAGGAAGUUCGUCCUCAAUUCCAAAGUCAUCCUAUUCAGGAAGUAUGUCUAGUAGUCUCAAAGCUGCUUCACAGAUGGAUGGUUUUAAGCACCACGAGCAGAACGAAGGCCUGCAGCCAUGGGGAAGUGUCAAAGGCAUAGGCCAAACUGCCCAGAGAGGAAGAAAUUACAGUCCCAGAAGCUUUGAUUCAGCUUCCAUUGCUGCUUGUUUUAAUUUAGUGGUUCGAGGAGCAUAGACUACAGGUUAAUGAAGUUCUUGAAGAUCGUAGUCAAGUUGGAACUAUUUGAAUGCUACUUUUGUUGGUGUUUAUAAUGGGUAAGCCUCCAAAUAUGUAAUUAAUUUAGCUUAGCGAGCUUGUUUUUUUGUACAUGUUAUUGAAUAAAUUGGAUUUUUAACAUUAUCAUUAUACCAAAGGGAGAAAGAUGGUGGGUGGAAGUGGGAUUGGAGACAUGAAGAAGACACAAGAGAUGAUCAAUUUUCUUUUUCUCUAUUUUUUUAGUUUUUUUUCUUUCUUUUUUUUACAAAAGAAACAGCUGAAAAGUCCAUGGCAAACAGCAAAUAUGAGUAUGUUAAGUCCUUUGAAGUACAAAAUUAUGCUGCCCACUCUGAUGGUUGUUGUCAUUGAUGGCUGGAAUAUUCGAAGGUUCUCUGAAGUUCAUAAAUUUGAGAAGCCUCAUGAUAAAAAAAGCCUUGGAGUUGAUGAGUUCAUGCGUAAAUGCGGUCAUGGAGGAAUACGCUAACAUAAUAUUUUCAUAUGGAUAUAGCGAUGAAUUUAGUUUUGUAUUAAAAAAGGAGUCCAAAUUUUACCAGAGAGGUGAAAAGUUUGUGGUUGAAUCUACAUUCAGAUGUUAGUACCUGGGAUUCACAAAUUUCCUUGUUGACAUACUGAUGUUUUAAUUGCUGUUUCAUAUUGCUUUAUUUUCCCCUUUUAUUAUGAACUACUGAGCCUAGUUUAGUUUUAGUUAUUAGGCUAUAAUAAAUGUAAUUUUAUUGGUGAUUGUAUAAAUAUAAAAUUCUUUGUUUUAUCUCAAUUAAUUAAUAAAAUAACUGUGCUAUAAUUUUUAUGCAA
Long non-coding RNA from Chenopodium quinoa (quinoa), 1907 nucleotides. RefSeq lists it as uncharacterized. The transcript is spliced from 6 exons. Lineage: Eukaryota; Viridiplantae; Streptophyta; Magnoliopsida; Caryophyllales; Amaranthaceae. The record is from RefSeq and is a predicted model, not a curated record.